RNAcentral lists this ribosomal RNA (377 nucleotides) under Odorrana graminea (large odorous frog). RNAcentral describes it as "partial 12S ribosomal RNA". It matches the Rfam family "Bacterial small subunit ribosomal RNA", at positions 875 to 1400 of the family's 1533-position model. Lineage: Eukaryota; Metazoa; Chordata; Amphibia; Anura; Ranidae. The record is from RNAcentral.
AACUUACAUCUAUGAACGCCAGGGAAUUACGAGCUACGCUUAAAACCCAAAGGAUUUGACGGUGUCCCACCCACCUAGAGGAGCCUGUUCUAUAAUCGAUAAUACCCGCUAUACCCAACCACCUCUUGCUAUUCAGUCUGUAUACCUCCGUCGAAAGCUUACCAUGUGAACGCCUACAGUGAGUACAAUUACCCCCAACGUCAACACGUCAGGUCAAGGUGCAGCUUAAGGGGUGGAAAGAAAUGGGCUACAAUUUCUAAUCUAGAACAAACGAAAGACUAUGUGAAAUCAUGGUACUGAAGGCGGAUUUAGCAGUAAAAAGAAAAUAGAGCGUUCUUUUUAACCUGGCUCUGGGACGCGUACACACCGCCCGUCAC